This 1097-nucleotide small RNA is filed under the name Pyricularia oryzae. RNAcentral's name for it is "Magnaporthe oryzae sRNA M_BR32_EuGene_00128011". Lineage: Eukaryota; Fungi; Ascomycota; Sordariomycetes; Magnaporthales; Pyriculariaceae. The record is from RNAcentral.
AAUAUUUGGGAAUUUUUUAAUUAUUUUUAAAAUUGUUAAAAACCGUUCCGCUAAUAUUACCAAAAAUUGAAUUAGCGAACAAAUUAACCAAAAAAAAGGAAAAUUUAAAAAAAUACCACCUAUUAUUUUUAAAAAUUAAAAACCGACCAAAAUUCGAAACCAUACCACCAAAUAAAUUUAAAAAAAAACAAUUAAUAUUCGCCACGAACUAAAAUAUAUAAAUAAAAUAAUUUACCAAUUAAAUAUUACGUAAAAAUACUAUUUUUUCCAAUAAAUUUUUUUUAAAGGAUUUAUCGGGAAAAUUAAAUUCCAAACAAAAUUAGAAUUUGGAAAAAGCAAUUUAAAGGAUAUUUUAAAAAAAAUUCGGUUAAUUGCCGCCGUUUUUUUAAUUUGUUUUUUUAUAUUUUACGCGAUCCAAUUCCUCCAAAUUAUUAAUACCCCGACGGACCGCCCGCAUUAUUUUUUUUAAACUAUAUUUUUUUUUAUUUUCGCAAACGAAAAUUUUUUUCCUCCGUCGUUUUUAAUUUAAAUUUAAACUUCGAAUAUUAAGCCGCGAUUUUGUGCAAUUAUUUCCGGAAAAUACCUAUAACGUUAUAUUGCGAACGACCCAAAUAAAUAUAUUUAAUAUAAUAAAAACAAAUCCCGAAAUAAUAUAAUAUAUUUCGCAAUCCUUUGCGAUUUAUAAAUAAAAUAAUAAAAUAUUUUAACCGCCGAAAAAAAAAAUAUAAAAAACAAAUCGUUGCGGCGAACGGUGGAAAAACGACCGCGAAAUUUAUUAAUUUAAUUAAAUAUAACGCAAAAAAAUUAGCAAAAAAAAAACGAAACCAAAAAUUAAAAUUAACAAAAUAUAAGUUAUUUCAAACCAAAAGAAUUUGGCCAAAAAAAGGAGAUUUAAUAUUACGAUUAAAUCAUUGGGCCGGUACCAGAAAGGCCAAAUAAAAUUAUAUUUUUCCUAACAAUAUUUGUCCAAAACAAUUACCGACCGGUAAAAACAGGAUUAUAUAAGGGAAAAAACACGUAAUAUUACGUAAUCGCGAAAAAAAUAUAAUUAAUAUAUCGCAUAUUAAAUAUAACAAAACAAAUAAUUUAUAUAAAAU